RNAcentral lists this ribosomal RNA (326 nucleotides) under uncultured soil bacterium. Its description in RNAcentral is "bacterial SSU rRNA". It matches the Rfam family "Bacterial small subunit ribosomal RNA", at positions 8 to 352 of the family's 1533-position model. The record is from RNAcentral.
AGAGUUUGAUCCUGGCUCAGAACGAACGCUGGCGGCAUGCCUAACACAUGCAAGUCGAACGAGGUUUCCGCUUCGGUGGGGGCCUAGUGGCGCACGGGUGAGUAACGCGUGGGAACCUGCCCUGUGGUACGGAAUAACUCCGGGAAACUGGAGCUAAUACCGUAUGUCGUCCUGCGGGACAAAGAUUCAUCGCCAUGGAUGGGCCCGCGUAGGAUUAGCUUGUUGGCGGGGUAACGGCCCACCAAGGCUACGAUCCUUAGCUGGUCUGAGAGGAUGAUCAGCCACACUGGGACUGAGACACGGCCCAGACUCCUACGGGAGGCAGC